UUUUUUUGGUAGUUUUUGAAGUAUAGUCUGCCCGCUGCUUGAAGGGCCGCGGUAUUUUGACCGUGCAAAGGUAGCAUAGUCAUUAGUUCUUUAAUUGUGAUCUGGUAUGAAUGGCUUGACGAGACAUGAGCUGUCUUUUUGAAUUUGUAUUUUGAGUUAAAAUUCUUAGAUGUUUUUAUGGGACGAGAAGACCCUAUAGAGUUUUACAUUAGGUUCUUUUGUUUGUUUUCCAUUAUUAUGUUUGUUUUGUUGGGGUGAUGGGAGGAUUUUCUUUAACUCCUCUUUGUUGUUAUAUUGAUUUAUAUUUGUUUUGAUCCAUUUAUUUUGAUUAUAAGAUUAAAUUACCUUAGGGAUAACAGCGUUAUCUUCCCUGAGAGUUCUUAUUGGCGGGGGGGUUUGCGACCUCGAUGUUGGAUUAAGGUUUAUUUUUGGUGUAGGAGCUGAAUAGAUUAGGUCUGUUCGACCUUUAAAAUCUU
RNAcentral lists this ribosomal RNA (476 nucleotides) under Odontotermes anceps. Its description in RNAcentral is "partial 16S ribosomal RNA". It matches the Rfam family "Bacterial large subunit ribosomal RNA", at positions 1832 to 2597 of the family's 2925-position model. Lineage: Eukaryota; Metazoa; Arthropoda; Insecta; Blattodea; Termitidae. The record is from RNAcentral.